This 507-nucleotide ribosomal RNA is filed under the name uncultured soil bacterium. RNAcentral describes it as "bacterial SSU rRNA". It matches the Rfam family "Bacterial small subunit ribosomal RNA", at positions 8 to 495 of the family's 1533-position model. The record is from RNAcentral.
AGAGUUUGAUCCUGGCUCAGAACGAACGCUGGCGGCGUGGAUAAGACAUGCAAGUCGAGCGAGAUUUUUUCUUGUAGCAAUACAGGGAAAAGUCUAGCGGCGAACGGGUGCUUAACACGUGGGCAACCUGCCGUGAAGUGGGGGAUAGCUCGCCGAAAGGCGAAUUAAUACCGCAUGUGAUUAGAGAGGACAUCCUUUCGAAAUUAAAGUCGGGGCAACCUGACGCUUCUUGUGGGGCCCGCGGCCUAUCAGCUAGUUGGUGAGGUAACGGCUCACCAAGGCUUUGACGGGUAGCUGGUCUGAGAGGACGACCAGCCACACUGGGACUGAGACACGGCCCAGACACCUACGGGUGGCAGCAGUCGAGAAUUUUUGACAAUGGGGGAAACCCUGAUCGAGCGACGCCGCGUGGAGGAUGAAGGUCUUCGGAUUGUAAACUCCUGUCAUUGGGGAACAAGGUGCAUACGUUAACUGCGUGUGUAUUGAUAGACCCGAAGAGAAGGACGU